RNAcentral lists this long non-coding RNA (584 nucleotides) under Elaeis guineensis (African oil palm). RNAcentral's name for it is "long non-coding RNA (EGUI_LNC003881)". The record is from RNAcentral. Lineage: Eukaryota; Viridiplantae; Streptophyta; Magnoliopsida; Arecales; Arecaceae.
CACACACACAUUAGAUUCAUAUGAGCAGGCUUUAAUUACAAAAGUGUUGUUGUCAGUUUUAUGGGCCACAUUAUAAUGCUUUUCACUCUCUCUCUCUCUCUCUUCUUUUUAGACAAUGCUUUUAAGAUGCUUUUAAUGCAAUAUUUUAAUAAUAUAAUAUUUUCAUUCUCUCUCUAUUUUCAGUUGGUGCUUUUAAGAUCUUUCAAUACUUUAAUAACAUCAUGUUUUUGAUACACAUCAUGAUAUCCCACACUAAUCUUAAAGCAUCAAAAAAAAUAAGAAAAAGGAGUCUUCUUCCUGUCAUUUUUCUGAUGAAAUCUAACUUUGGGAAGGACUAAAAUAGCUCCUUACACCCCUAUUUAAGGACUUCACAAUCUUCCCUUCCUUUCCACUUUAAGAAGUGCAUAGUUUGUCAAGGAUCACCGGUGAUUUCUCACUUCUUCUUCACAGAAGCCUUUCACCAUGCUUGGUGGAAAUCAGGUUAAAGAGGGUGCUGGAGUCCAAGAUAAGCCUUGUCUCUCUUGCGUCUCACUUUUUCCUUCCUUCUCAUAAUGUUAGUAUUGGAAAGAAUUCUUCAUGAGUGC